GACGAACGCUGGCGGCGUGCCUAAUACAUGCAAGUAGAACGCUGAAGAGAGGAGCUUGCUCUUCUUGGAUGAGUUGCGAACGGGUGAGUAACGCGUAGGUAACCUGCCUGGUAGCGGGGGAUAACUAUUGGAAACGAUAGCUAAUACCGCAUAAAAUUGAUUAUUGCAUGAUAAUUAAUUGAAAGAUGCAACUGCAUCACUACCAGAUGGACCUGCGUUGUAUUAGCUAGUUGGUGAGGUAACGGCUCACCAAGGCGACGAUACAUAGCCGACCUGAGAGGGUGAUCGGCCACACUGGGACUGAGACACGGCCCAGGCUCCUACGGGAGGCAGCAGUAGGGAAUCUUCGGCAAUGGGGGGAACCCUGACCGAGCAACGCCGCGUGAGUGAAGAAGGUUUUCGGAUCGUAAAGCUCUGUUGUAAGAGAAGAACGGGUGUGAGAGUGGAAAGUUCACACUGUGACGGUAUCUUACCAGAAAGGGACGGCUAACUACGUG
Molecule: ribosomal RNA, 497 nt
Filed under: uncultured bacterium
Lineage: Bacteria
Description: partial 16S ribosomal RNA
Rfam family: Bacterial small subunit ribosomal RNA
Source: RNAcentral